Molecule: ribosomal RNA, 339 nt
Filed under: Acinetobacter baumannii
Lineage: Bacteria; Pseudomonadati; Pseudomonadota; Gammaproteobacteria; Moraxellales; Moraxellaceae
Description: partial 23S ribosomal RNA
Rfam family: Bacterial large subunit ribosomal RNA
Source: RNAcentral
AGUCAAGUAAUUAAGUGCAUGUGGUGGAUGCCUUGGCAGUCAGAGGCGAUGAAAGACGUGAUAGCCUGCGAAAAGCUCCGGGGAGGCGGCAAAUAUCCUUUGAUCCGGAGAUGUCUGAAUGGGGGAACCCACCUACUUUAAGGUAGGUAUUGCAACAUGAAUACAUAGUGUUGCAAGGCGAACGAGGGGAAGUGAAACAUCUCAGUACCCUUAGGAAAAGAAAUCAAUUGAGAUUCCCUCAGUAGCGGCGAGCGAACGGGGAUCAGCCCAUUAAGUUAUGUGUGUUUUAGUGGAACGCUCUGGGAAGUGCGAACGUAGAGGGUGAUAUUCCCGUACACG